This 1511-nucleotide long non-coding RNA is filed under the name Marmota marmota marmota (Alpine marmot). RNAcentral's name for it is "lncRNA (ENSMMMG00000011663.1)". Lineage: Eukaryota; Metazoa; Chordata; Mammalia; Rodentia; Sciuridae. The record is from RNAcentral.
GAGAGGAGAACGGGAAACAGGACUUCUUCCACGCGCUCUUUCGUGUGGUUGCAGGUGAUUCACGGAAGACGCUUCACGUCGCUUCCCUUCCUGCGGUCGAUCGAUCUGUGGAUGAACGUGUGGGGAGAUGCACUCUGGCCCAGAGGUGGGAGCCCAGCAAGGGACAGUGGUCCAGAGGUGGGAGCCGAGGCCUUGCUGGGUGCAGAGGGCAUCUGCUGGGGGAGCAGCCCAGCACCUGGGGAGCGUGAGGCUGGGGAGCCUCGAGCGGAAUCAGAGCCCAGGCUGGAGUCUUGGAACCAACUCCCAGUGGAUCCCCAACACAACUGCAAAUAUGAAACCUGCCACCAAGAGACCAGUCAGCAGCAAGAAUGCAAAGACCCCUAUUAGUGCUCAGAUCCCAUCCUCCUUUCCCAUCCUCUGGGAAAAGGUCCUUGGAAGGAAGACCCGUCGUCGAGCUGGGUCAGAGGAAGAGCAGACCAGCCACUUUGCUGCACCAGAAAGCAAGAAUGGAGAGUUGAUCAGAACCCUCGGUGAAGCAGGAGUCCCCGAGUGCCGCCCACACAGCCCCGUGGUCCUGUAGGAGCAUGCGGCCUCGUGACAGCAGAGCCACCUGCAUUUGUAUAGGCACAGCCCGUGGUGUUGACCUAGGGACAAAACCUUCAGAACCCAGCCCUGGUGGCCGGUGACAUGGCUGUGUGAAUGGAUCCAUAAGUCACUUGGAGAUCUAAGGCGAGAAGUGGGAUACCCACACAGUUUCAAAGUCUCCCCUCACAGAAGUCCUACUAUUUACAGAGGGAAAAGAGUAACUUGGCUGUGGGAAAGACUGGCAGAUGCCACCAAAUCCUGUGACCAAAGCAAACAUGAGUAAUCAAAGAAAUGGACAACUCACUGGCAGUGAGGAAAAUACCACGUCACGUCAGUGCUUCUGCUGCCAAAGGACCCGGUCACGAGGCAGCUCACACACGCAGAGGACAGAGAGCCUUGGAGCCCCAGGUGUCAAGGUCAUGGAAGACAAGGGAGAUUGAAACUGAAAGAGAGGAACUGCCCCUUCCUGACCUUCCAAGGGACCCAACCCGAGUACCAUCUGGCCAGCAUCCACCACUCAGAGCCUCACUUGGACCCACAGCAAAACCUGGUCGCAGUCCUACGAUUCCAGGUAGUGACGGGUGGGGUCCCCUUCCUGAGGGUGAUCAGCUGUGGUUUUGUAGGAGGACGCCCCUGUUUGUAGGAAGCACAUGGUCAUGUACGCUUUAGUGUGCCCACGUCCUUACUCCCCAGCAGUUCUGGGAAAUCCGAUCUCUUUCUUCUUUUUCUUUUUUGUACUGGGGGUUGAACCCAGCGGUGCUUAACCACUGAGGCACACCACCAGCCCUUUUUAUUUUUAUUUUUUUUGUUUUGAGAUAGGGUCUUGCUAAAUUGCUGAGGCUGGCCUUGAACUUGUGAUCCUCCUGCCUCAGCUUCCCAAGUUGCUGGGAUUACAAGUGUGUGUCACUGUGCCCAGCUGAGAAGCA